AAAUAUGGGGGAUGUAAAACCGCCCAAAAGGAUUAGGUGGCGGCCACAAUCCUGUCUAAAUCGUUCAAGAACGAACCAAUUUUGGGCGAAUCCGCGAAAUUCGUACGGGAUCGGCAACGCCACUCGCGCCUUUCGCCGGGCCCUCGGU
Molecule: small RNA, 148 nt
Filed under: Sinorhizobium meliloti 2011
Lineage: Bacteria; Pseudomonadati; Pseudomonadota; Alphaproteobacteria; Hyphomicrobiales; Rhizobiaceae
Description: putative ncRNA
Source: RNAcentral